GACGAACGCUGGCGGCGUGCUUAACACAUGCAAGUCGAACGGAAAGGCCCUGCUUUUGUGGGGUGCUCGAGUGGCGAACGGGUGAGUAACACGUGAGUAACCUGCCCUUGACUUUGGGAUAACUUCAGGAAACUGGGGCUAAUACCGGAUAGGAGCUCCUGCUGCAUGGCGGGGGUUGGAAAGUUUCGGCGGUUGGGGAUGGACUCGCGGCUUAUCAGCUUGUUGGUGGGGGAGUGGCUUACCAAGGCUUUGGCGGGUAGCCGGCCUGGGGGGGUGACCGGCCACAUUGGGACUGGGGUACGGCCCAGACUCCUACGGGAGGCAGCAGUGGGGAAUAUUGCACAAUGGGCGGAGGCCUGAUGCAGCAACGCCGCGUGCGGGAUGACGGCCUUCGGGUUGUAAACCGCUUUCGCCUGUGACGAAGCGUGAGUGACGGUAAUGGGUAAAGAGGCACCGGCUAACUACGUG
RNAcentral lists this ribosomal RNA (468 nucleotides) under uncultured bacterium. Its description in RNAcentral is "partial 16S ribosomal RNA". It matches the Rfam family "Bacterial small subunit ribosomal RNA", at positions 28 to 507 of the family's 1533-position model. The record is from RNAcentral.